ACGAACGCUGGCGGCGUGCUUAACACAUGCAAGUCGAACGGAAAGGCCCUGCUUUUGUGGGGUGCUCGAGUGGCGAACGGGGGAGUAACACGUGAGUAACCUGCCCUUGACUUUGGGAUAACUUCAGGAAACAGGGGCUAAUACCGGAUAGGAGCUCCUGCUGCAUGGUGGGGGUUGGAAAGUUUCGGCGGUUGGGGAUGGACUCGCGGCUUAUCAGCUUGUUGGUGGGGUAGUGGCUUACCAAGGCUUUGACGGGUAGCCGGCCUGAGAGGGUGACCGGCCACAUUGGGACUGAGAUACGGCCCAGACUCCUACGGGAGGCAGCAGUGGGGAAUAUUGCACAAUGGGCGGAAGCCUGAUGCAGCAACGCCGCGUGCGGGAUGACGGCCUUCGGGUUGUAAACCGCUUUCGCCUGUGACGAAGCGUGAGUGACGGUAAUGGGUAAAGAAGCACCGGCUAACUACGUG
This 467-nucleotide ribosomal RNA is filed under the name uncultured bacterium. RNAcentral's name for it is "partial 16S ribosomal RNA". It matches the Rfam family "Bacterial small subunit ribosomal RNA", at positions 29 to 507 of the family's 1533-position model. The record is from RNAcentral.